UGCUUGUGUGAAGGUGGAGAUCAUGGUGUUUAUUCAAAGCAUUUUACUUUGUAAAAUAGAAUGAGUUCAAGCCCAAGAACAUCAAGAAGAAGAAGAUGAGUAUUAUCAUGUCUGUGGACGAAAACAGAAGAAAUAGAAUCAUGUUCUAGUUCUCUGGUUCCGUCAUUCAGCCACAAGACAGAAAGUUGCCUGAAGGCUGUGGAUCAUUGUAUUGUUGACCCAGACGGAGUGUACUUCACAAGGAUUGUCUUUUUCUGAGAAAGCUAACCAUGGAUAACUCUCCUGAAGGUAAGCACUGACUGGACUGAUGUAAAGGUUGAAAAAUGCUGGCAACUUUCCCAAAACUACCAAUGGAGCAAGAUUUGACUUCAUUUCUACAGUCCAAUAGUCAUGGUGUGCUGAAUGUGCCAUUGCUGAACCAAGGCGGUGUCCUCUAAUCUUCCUCGCGUUCUUUGUUUUAGUGAACCAGGAGCAGGGAGACAUACCAAUAAUCCCAUUGGUCCAUGAGCCCAUGUCAGGCUCCUUGAUGACAACAUGCCUAUGGCACCUGAAGCGGAGGGGAUCCAACUGAAGAACGUCACCCCUGCACAGUGGGACAGAAUCCUCCCGAUAGGAAUCAUCCAGAGGGAGGAUCCCAACCAGAACCAAUCAUUCCAACAAUACGUCAUCCCAAUCAAAAACAAUGGAAUGGAACAGAUGGAAUAUCAUGGACCACCUCCACCUCCCAUCAUCCCCAUGGUGGGAUCCUGGGACACUGGAGUGAAUGCUCCACGUUGUGGAGAUUUCUAUGCCAGGAGAAAAGAUAUCCGGAGUAGAUAUGUGGCGGAUCCUGCUUUAAUGACCAUCACCAAGCCAGAACACUUCGAGGCCAACCCUCAGAGCCAGGCUGGCAGUUGGCCGGUGGCUAAACCUCAGCACCCAGCACCCCCAGUACAGAAAACACGAAACAGUGGAGGCUGGCUCAGGUGGUUCUUCGGAGAAAAGGAAGAAGUUCUUCAGAUGACAAGGAUACCAGAUGACAAGCCUAAUUCUAUUGUCUGGGAUCAAAACCUGCACAGAUGGGUUGACGCAAGUCCCAUGCCCAAGACUGAGAACAAGCCUGUUCCACCUCCUCCCCCGAUGGGGAUGUAUCUGGAGAACUCUAGUCUCCCCAAAGGAGUGAAUCCUUACUCCAUGAAAGCAGCAGAUCAAGGAAGCCUAGGGGACAGGUAUCCCAAGCUAUUGUACCAUGGUGGGAUCACUACAACACCUCCAUACCAGGGUCCUGGAUCGCUCCCUGCCCAGCAUGCAACACUCAUGGCACCGAUGACUGUGCCAUUCGAUGUUGACAGGCAGAAACUUGGCCCAGGCACUCUACCCUUUUGAGAAUCGACACUGAACAAUCCUUCUGCAACGAUUUAUUUAAUUAGCUUUAAUAUACAGCAACACUUGGCUGAAGUUUCAGUGAUUUUUAAGCUAUUUAUUUUUGUCUCACAGGUCGUUUUCCAGGAGGGAUCAUUUGAUAUUUCAGCAUUUUAAAAGACAAAAUAAAAUAAGAUUUCGGGCUUUGAAAAGUUAUUAAAAAUCUGUAUGUUCACGUAGCUUUGAUAUGUUUUCUGGCAUCCUUUACAAGCCCAUCGCUUGUGCACAUUUCUCUAUGUUACAUACUUUACAGAUGGGUAUAUUAUUUAUACAUAUGUUUUUCAAAAUAUAUUCAAAAAAGAAUUAAUCUAUUUCAUAAACAUAAUAUCAAAUGUAAAUAAAGUGCAUUUUAAAUUGUACACCAUAUAUUUCAAUAUAUGACUUUACUGCAGGCCUAGCGUUGUGGGUGGGCCUUAGGGAGCCAUGCUCGCCC
Molecule: long non-coding RNA, 1834 nt
Organism: Oncorhynchus tshawytscha (Chinook salmon)
Lineage: Eukaryota; Metazoa; Chordata; Actinopteri; Salmoniformes; Salmonidae
Source: Ensembl